UCAGUCGGUCGUCGCCUCAAGGCUCGUCUCUAAUAAUCAAGAAGCAACCAGGCUUGUCUUUUUUCUUAUGUUGCUUCAUCCGAUGACAACAGUGGCCAAGGAGAAGAUUUCCAUGGCGAGGAACCCUAUUACCACCUCUUCGACCCACUCCACGGCCGUAUCAUUGGCACCCACAGAUCACAAAGCCCCAUCGUUAAGAGACGGCAGCCAAAGCAAUAGCAGCAGAAGCGGUAAGAGGAAUACCUCAGCCGCUAAUUUUGUCGCUCGAGGAGGAGACGCCGGCCUCCAGCCGCGGGAUAUCGCGGUCAACAAGGUGAGAAGAGGGGAGCGCUUUGCAGCGGAGGAAGAAGAGGACAUCUGUAAUCACAUCAAAUAUUUAAGUUAGGAAUUGAUUUUCUUUCCUUGUUAUUAUAAUUUAAGAAAAUCUUAAUCUACUUCCUUAUAUGUUGAUAUGAAUUAAGAAAAUAACUAGUAAGUAUUCCAAAUAUGAUGAUAUCAUAUUUGGUAGUAUAUUAAAUGAAAAUAAUUUAUAAAUACGAAAAUUAAAAAUUUAUUUCCCUUAAUAGAGACUCACCUCCUCCUAUUUAAAGGGGAGGGAUCUCUCUCCUUCGUUCCUCACCUAGUCGAGCCUGGCAGCGGGAGGAACGAGGAGUUACACCCUGUUAACAAGAGAACGAGGAGUUACACCCUAUUGACAAGAGGUAAGUUUCCUACCUUUCUUAAAAGUUUUAGUUUUUAUUUUGAUUCUUUAAAUGUUGAAAGUUUUAUAGUUUGAAAAAUGUGUAUCAAUUUUUUAAAUGUCAAAUUUUUUGUAUUAAAAUAAUCAGUUAAAAUUUUCAUAAUAUUCUUUGACCCAUGAUUAAGGUUUUUAUUGUAGAAUUAAAUAUGUUAAAAAGGUAUAUGUUUUAUAUGAUAUUUUCUGUAUUACAGUUUAUCUUUAAUCUUAUCUGGAUUAAAAUCUUGUUAGACUAGAAUAUGUUAUCUAAAAUCUCUUUUUGAUAUUUUUUGAUCUGAAAUUUAAAAUAUAUUAUUCUGAAUGAUUUAAAAUAUGACUAGAAUAUGUUGAAAUUUUAUUUGUUGAAAACAUGAUUUUUAUUUAAAUUUAGAAAGCUAUUUCCUUGUUGUAAAACUUAUCUCCUAGUCCUUCUUUUAAUGUCUUAUGAUUUCUAGUCAAAUUGAGAAUGUUAUUUCUUUGUAUUAAAACUUUUUAACUCAUCUAUCUUUUAAUACAUUAUUAUGUUUUCAUAUAUGUUGUUAAUGAGUAUAUGUUAUGACUAGUCCAUAGGCCAGGGCUGGACCAGUUUUAUGUAAUGCAUGCUCAAUCAUGUAUAAUGCACAUGACCAAUAGACGGACUAGCUCAAUCUAGCCCAAUAUUAUUGUUGAACUUGAGCCCAAAUAUUGAUUGAAUUAAACUAUACUUGAUUAGUCUAGAUCAAUUCAGGGUGAUUCCGAAUUGAUUGACUUAUUCAAGUUAGUUUAACCUAAAUUGAACUUAAUCUAGUCUAAAUUAUACUAGUCUAGGGUGGUUCCAGGCCAGUUAAAUAAGGAUUAGAGAUCAGUUCAGUUAGGCUCUAGUAAAUCGAGUUCAAUUGAAUCGAUUAGAGUUCAAGUGAAUUGAGGGUUAAUUUAUAUUAUUUGAUAUUGAUGAUUUUUGAAAGAGAUGUUUUAAAUUUGUUAUUUCAUCCCGAAAUGGAUAUGACCAGUGUGAGAUUAUAUUCCUGCCGAGAGCAGGUAGGGCGAUUCCCUUCGGGGAUUAGUGGGCCGUUAGACGUGGCGGCUGGACGGUUCCUCCAUCCGCUGUUGGGAGGAACGUGUCCCCACUUUGGCGGGUGUGGGACACCACUCCAUCCGCUGUUGGGAGAACACAAACUCAUCUCGUAGGAUAAAGCCUCUCCAUCCGCUGUUGGGGGAGUGCUCCUUCGGGUACUUGAUAUACGCCAGUGGGAUGAUUGAUUGAAUUUUGAUCAUGUAUUUAUUUUGAUUUGACUUUUGGGGUUCCUACUCAGCAUUGUUGAAUUUUCUUUGUUUUUGAUUUUCAGAGCAGUCUCCCUCUAGUACUAAAUCGAAUUCCAGUAGAGAGCGAAUCUUCAUCUACCGCUAGGAUGUGACAACAUCAACGAGGUGGCCGAUGCCUUCAUCAGGCGCUUCAGAGAGCAGCUCCAGCUGCAGCGCCUCCAGUCCAUCGAGAAUUAUAAUCAAAUGCUCGCUAGAGGUCUGUGAAUUAAUUGCAUAGCGUGUGGGAUGUCGGUUUGUGCUGUUCACUUAAUCUUUAUUUAUUAGGGAUGGGAAAAGGUCCUCAAUUA
Molecule: long non-coding RNA, 2304 nt
Organism: Musa acuminata AAA Group (dessert banana)
Lineage: Eukaryota; Viridiplantae; Streptophyta; Magnoliopsida; Zingiberales; Musaceae
Exons: 2
Source: RefSeq, a predicted model, not a curated record